AUGGAGGACCAAAACCUCAUCGUCGCUGUGUGCAGCCGUCCUGUCCUUUACAACACCAGGAGGAUGGUGUCGUACCGGGACAGGAACAAGAAAGAGAGGGCGUGGGUCGACGUGGCCGAGGAUACUGGCUGUCCUGACCAGCCCAGCAGUGAGUCAGAGACAGAGGACGCUGCUCCUGCUCCUGCUCCUGCCCCUGCCGCUGGCCCUUCCCGUGUACCUGUCCCGGAGGCUGGCCCUGCCCCAAGACCACAGAGCGGGACGAAGAGGAAGAGAGCCAGGGUACCGGAGGGGAACACAAAUAUCCAGACAGCCAUCCUCCAGGCCCUGCAGAGGCAAAACGCUGUGCCUACCCCUACCCCGCUCUCUGGGAUUGAGCACUUUUUAACUGGCCUAGUUCCUUCCCUGGAGAGAAUGCCACCUGAAGUACUGGAGUACGUUCAAUUCCAAAUUCGAAAGGUCAUAUUUGACAAUACUAAUUUCACACUUUAUUUGGAACCUGUUUAAGCUUAUUAGCUAGUGGUGGUGACAAUCUCUCCAGGGAAAGAACUAGGCUGAUGUCACUGUUCAUUUGUUAUUGUUCCGUUAUGUUUAUAUUAUAUAUUUCGUAUGUUAUUUUUGUUAUUUAUAUAAUUAUUUUUUAAAUAAAAUAUUUCUCACAACUCUUCUCUCAAUAUAUGAUUUUAAGAUCUAGCAUGCAUGGACACAAAUAUACAUUUUUAAUAACACUACUUAAUUGAACAAUUUUAAUAACAAUUUAAUAAUAAUGAAGGAAUCCCUUUUGUUUUGUGUGGGUGGCUCUUAAAAGAGCCGUUUUGGG
This 817-nucleotide long non-coding RNA is filed under the name Gadus morhua (Atlantic cod). RNAcentral's name for it is "lncRNA (ENSGMOG00000024255.1)". The record is from RNAcentral. Lineage: Eukaryota; Metazoa; Chordata; Actinopteri; Gadiformes; Gadidae.